This is a long non-coding RNA of Equus caballus (horse), 1109 nucleotides long. RefSeq lists it as uncharacterized. The record is from RefSeq and is a predicted model, not a curated record. NCBI's taxonomy places the organism in Eukaryota, Metazoa, Chordata, Mammalia, Perissodactyla, Equidae.
ACCAAUCAUGUGAUUAGCCGGUUAGAACUUUCAAUCCCCGCCUCCCGCCCUGAUCCCCCACAUCCGGGGAGGGGAGAGAGGCCAAUGGCCAUUGGCCAAUGGCCAAUGAUUUAAUCAAUCAUACCUAUGUAAUGUGGUCUCCAUAAGAGCCCAAGAGGAGAGGGUUUAGAAAACUUCCAGACUGGUGAACAUGUGGAGAUUGGGGAGAGUGGAGCACCUGGAGAAGACGUGGAAGCUAAGUUUUUCCCCCAUAUCUUGCCCUAGGCGUCUCUUCCAUCUGGCUGUUCCUGAGUUAUAUCCUUUUAUAAUAAGCCAGUGAUCUAGAUCAUUGGGACAGUUGGAGAAACAGAUCAAGCUUCCAGGAACAAUACCUUGAGGCACGCCACAGACCGGGAGGGAGUUGUUGUCUGUCACCACCACAAACUCCAGAACCACUCCACAGAUCUGUCCUGAGGAGGAAGCGGCCACCGCCACUGCCACUGACUCCAUAACCGUAUUUCACGGAUUAGAGAGGAGACUCCAUCACUACCUCUACCUCUGGCGCCAUUCAUACCAUCAAAACAUGAAUUUCCCAUGCAGACCCUAUUUUCCCGCAGGGCUGAAACCAGGUACAGGCAACAGGAUUAAAGAAGAGGGAAUCCAAAGAGGAUGGCCCUUUGAUGUCAGGCAACCUGGUUACCAUCUCGGAAGGCUCUAAUCACCUGUCUGAGCUUGGCACAGAUCUCUGAUGCCUGAGGGAGAAACUGGCAAGAAUACGAUCAGAACCAAAGCAGAUGCCUGUCCUGAGAAAAGGGAACAUAAUUUUUAGUGAUCUCGAAUGUUCAGGCAGCACUUCAGUCUCCUGCUAGUCACUGUGGGAGAUUUCCAGAUCUAGUCAGUAUCAAGAGACUCUGAGGGGAACAAUGCAGGAGAGCCGCCUCCAGCCUGGCUGUGAUAGCCCUCCCCACAUCUGGAAAAAAUAAAAAAGCAUUUCCUUCUUUCUACAUAACAAACAGUCAAUCAUUUUGAAUGGGUGUUGUUUCAGGACUUCAACUAUUCGCCAUUUUUUUCCUCACUGUUUGAUGCCUGGAGUUUUUUUUUCCUUUGCUUCGCUGGUAGAUACUUUAAGA